GUCUACGGCCAUGCCACCCUGAAUAAGUGGGAUCCCAUCUGAUCUCGGAAGUUAAGCAGGGUUGGGCCCGGUUAGUACUUGGAUGGGAGACCACCUAGGAAGACCAGGUGCUGUAGGCG
RNAcentral lists this ribosomal RNA (119 nucleotides) under Pteropus alecto (black flying fox). Lineage: Eukaryota; Metazoa; Chordata; Mammalia; Chiroptera; Pteropodidae. The record is from RNAcentral.